GGGGCGGGGGAUGGGAGGCUUGCCACCUUCAGCCCCCCGGCGAGUGCCCAAGGUGCACAUAUCUUGACCAACUCAGAAACAAGGUGGAUUUUCUUUGUGUUUAAAGAAAAAAACAAUGUCCCCGUGUCUGUAGAGAUGAUCUGCAGUUCAGCCCGGCUGAAGCUGACCGAAUGAGACUAUGGGCUGUGCCUCUGUCAAGCAUGUUGCCACUGUUCAAAAUGAAGAGGAGGCCCAGAAAGGGAAAAACUACCAGAAUGGAGAUGUGUUUGGCGACGAGUAUAGGAUCAACCCAGUGGAAGAGGUCAAAUACAUGAAAAAUGGGGCAGAAGAAGAGCAGAAAAUAGCAGCCAGGAACCAAGAAAACUUGGAAAAAAGUGCCAGCUGAAGUACCCGCUUAAAUGUCAGACUUAAAACUAAUAAAGAGGUUCCGGGAUUAGUUCAUCAAACCAGAGCAAACAUGCACAUCUCUGAAAGCCAACAAGAAUUCUUCAGAAUGCUGGAUGAAAAAAUUGAAAAGGGUCGGGAUUACUGUUCGGAAGAAGAGGAUAUCACAUAG
This is a non-coding RNA of Callithrix jacchus (white-tufted-ear marmoset), 556 nucleotides long. Lineage: Eukaryota; Metazoa; Chordata; Mammalia; Primates; Cebidae. The record is from RefSeq and is a predicted model, not a curated record.